Molecule: ribosomal RNA, 947 nt
Filed under: Klebsiella quasipneumoniae subsp. similipneumoniae
Lineage: Bacteria; Pseudomonadati; Pseudomonadota; Gammaproteobacteria; Enterobacterales; Enterobacteriaceae
Description: bacterial SSU rRNA
Rfam family: Bacterial small subunit ribosomal RNA
Source: RNAcentral
GAAAUCCCCGGGCUCAACCUAGGAACUGCAUUCGAAACUGGCAGGCUAGAGUCUUGUAGAGGGGGGUAGAAUUCCAGGUGUAGCGGUGAAAUGCGUAGAGAUCUGGAGGAAUACCGGUGGCGAAGGCGGCCCCCUGGACAAAGACUGACGCUCAGGUGCGAAAGCGUGGGGAGCAAACAGGAUUAGAUACCCUGGUAGUCCACGCCGUAAACGAUGUCGAUUUGGAGGUUGUGCCCUUGAGGCGUGGCUUCCGGAGCUAACGCGUUAAAUCGACCGCCUGGGGAGUACGGCCGCAAGGUUAAAACUCAAAUGAAUUGACGGGGGCCCGCACAAGCGGUGGAGCAUGUGGUUUAAUUCGAUGCAACGCGAAGAACCUUACCUGGUCUUGACAUCCACAGAACUUGCCAGAGAUGGCUUGGUGCCUUCGGGAACUGUGAGACAGGUGCUGCAUGGCUGUCGUCAGCUCGUGUUGUGAAAUGUUGGGUUAAGUCCCGCAACGAGCGCAACCCUUAUCCUUUGUUGCCAGCGGUUAGGCCGGGAACUCAAAGGAGACUGCCAGUGAUAAACUGGAGGAAGGUGGGGAUGACGUCAAGUCAUCAUGGCCCUUACGACCAGGGCUACACACGUGCUACAAUGGCGCAUACAAAGAGAAGCGACCUCGCGAGAGCAAGCGGACCUCAUAAAGUGCGUCGUAGUCCGGAUUGGAGUCUGCAACUCGACUCCAUGAAGUCGGAAUCGCUAGUAAUCGUAGAUCAGAAUGCUACGGUGAAUACGUUCCCGGGCCUUGUACACACCGCCCGUCACACCAUGGGAGUGGGUUGCAAAAGAAGUAGGUAGCUUAACCUUCGGGAGGGCGCUUACCACUUUGUGAUUCAUGACUGGGGUGAAGUCGUAACAAGGUAACCGUAGGGGAACCUGCGGUUGGAUCACCUCCUUACCUUAAAGAA